RNAcentral lists this transfer RNA (82 nucleotides) under Eubacterium sp. RNAcentral describes it as "tRNA-Leu". It matches the Rfam family "tRNA". Rfam says of the family: Transfer RNA (tRNA) molecules are approximately 80 nucleotides in length. Their secondary structure includes four short double-helical elements and three loops (D, anti-codon, and T loops). The record is from RNAcentral. RNAcentral also lists the same sequence under 1 other name. Lineage: Bacteria; Bacillati; Bacillota; Clostridia; Eubacteriales; Eubacteriaceae.
GCGGCCAUGGCGGAAUUGGCAGACGCGCAGGAUUUAGGUUCCUGUGGGGCUUCCCGUGUGGGUUCAAGUCCCACUGGCCGCA